CAUGAAGUCGGAAUUGCUAGUAAUCGCGGAUCAGCACGCCGCGGUGAAUACGUUCCCGGGCCUUGUACACACCGCCCGUCACACCAUGGGAGCCGGUAAUACCCGAAGUCAGUAGUCCAACCUCGUGAGGACGCUGCCGAAGGUAGGAUUGGCGACAGGGGUGAAGUCGUAACAAGGUAGC
This 181-nucleotide ribosomal RNA is filed under the name uncultured bacterium. RNAcentral describes it as "partial 16S ribosomal RNA". It matches the Rfam family "Bacterial small subunit ribosomal RNA", at positions 1319 to 1500 of the family's 1533-position model. The record is from RNAcentral.